AUUGAACGCUGGCGGCAGGCCUAACACAUGCAAGUCGAACGAGUGGCGGACGGGUGAGUAAUGUCUGGGAAACUGCCUGAUGGAGGGGGAUAACUACUGGAAACGGUAGCUAAUACCGCAUACCAUCAGAUGUGCCCAGAUGGGAGUAGAUAGUAGGUGGGGUAAGGGCUCACCUAGGCGACGAUCCCUAGCUGGUCUGAGAGGAGGACCAGCCCACCUGGAACUGAGAGCCGUUCCAGACUCUUACGGGAGUCAGCAGUGGGGAAUAUUGAACAAUGGUCGCAAGCCUGAUGCAGCCAUGCCGCGUGUGUGAAGAAGGCCUUCGGGUUGUAAAGCACUUUCAGCGAGGAGGCGUUACUCGCAGAAGAAGCACCGGCUAACUCCGUGCCAGCAGCCGCGGUAAUAC
This 406-nucleotide ribosomal RNA is filed under the name uncultured bacterium. RNAcentral describes it as "partial 16S ribosomal RNA". It matches the Rfam family "Bacterial small subunit ribosomal RNA", at positions 30 to 526 of the family's 1533-position model. The record is from RNAcentral.